GCCUGUUUAUCAAAAACAUUGCCUUACGAAAAAAUAUGUAAGGUAAGCCCUGCCCAGUGAGUUCUUAAACGGCCGCGGUACCCUGACCGUGCAAAGGUAGCAUAAUCAUUUGCCCUUUAAUUGGGGGCUGGUAUGAAUGGGUGAACGAGGGCUUAGCUGUCUCACCUAUACUUAUAGAAAUUAACCUUUAGGUGAAGAGGCCUAAAUUAUUAUGAAAGACAAGAAGACCCUGUCGAGCUCUGCACUUCUCCGACCUAUGAAAUUUUAAACACAGAUAAGGAUCACAUCAAGUGCUUCGUUGGGGCGACGAGAGAAAAAAAAACACAUCUCUUGCUUUACAGGUCGACAUACCUACAGAUGACCCAUUACAUAUGAUCAUAGGAAAAAGCUACCGCAGGGAUAACAGGCUAAUCCUCUCAGAAAGCUCCCAUCGACGAGAGGGGUUGGCACCUCGAUGUUGGCUUAGAAUCCCCCCGGAGGCGCAGCAGCCCGAAGGUUGGUUUGUUCAACCAUUAAAAUUC
This 521-nucleotide ribosomal RNA is filed under the name Pharyngocirrus gabriellae. RNAcentral's name for it is "partial 16S ribosomal RNA". It matches the Rfam family "Bacterial large subunit ribosomal RNA", at positions 1798 to 2596 of the family's 2925-position model. The record is from RNAcentral. Lineage: Eukaryota; Metazoa; Annelida; Polychaeta; Saccocirridae.